Molecule: ribosomal RNA, 428 nt
Filed under: uncultured bacterium
Lineage: Bacteria
Description: bacterial SSU rRNA
Rfam family: Bacterial small subunit ribosomal RNA
Source: RNAcentral
AGUGGGGAAUCUUGCGCAAUGGACGAAAGUCUGACGCAGCGACGCCGCGUGAGGGAUGAAGGUUUUCGGAUCGUAAACCUCUGUCAGAAGGGAAGAAAAAGCUAUGCAAUAAUAAGGCAUAGCCCUGACGGUACCUUCAAAGGAAGCACCGGCAAACUCCGUGCCAGCAGCCGCGGUAAUACGGAGGGUGCAAGCGUUAAUCGGAUUAACUGGGCGUAAAGCGCACGUAGGCGGUAUUGUAAGUCAGAGGUGUAAUCCCACAGCUCACCUGUGGAACUGCCUUUGAAACUACAGUACUAGAAUGUAGGAGAGGAUAGUGGAAUUUCUAGUGUAGGAGUGGAAUCUGUAGAUAUUAGAAGGAACACCAGUGGCGAAGGCGACUAUCUGGACUAUUAUUGACGCUGAGGUGCGAAAGCGUGGGGAGCAAA